Molecule: ribosomal RNA, 450 nt
Filed under: Streptococcus parasanguinis
Lineage: Bacteria; Bacillati; Bacillota; Bacilli; Lactobacillales; Streptococcaceae
Description: bacterial SSU rRNA
Rfam family: Bacterial small subunit ribosomal RNA
Source: RNAcentral
GAUGAACGCUGGCGGCGUGCCUAAUACAUGCAAGUAGAACGCUGAAGCUUGGUGCUUGCACCGAGCGGAAGAGUUGCGAACGGGUGAGUAACGCGUAGGUAACCUGCCUCUUAGCGGGGGAUAACUAUUGGAAACGAUAGCUAAUACCGCAUAAAAGUCGACAUUGCAUGAUGUUGACUUGAAAGGUGCAACUGCAUCACUAGGAGAUGGACCUGCGUUGUAUUAGCUAGUUGGUGAGGUAACGGCUCACCAAGGCGACGAUACAUAGCCGACCUGAGAGGGUGAUCGGCCACACUGGGACUGAGACACGGCCCAGACUCCUACGGGAGCAGCAGUAGGGAAUCUUCGGCAAUGGACGGAAGUCUGACCGAGCAACGCCGCGUGAGUGAAGAAGGUUUUCGGAUCGUAAAGCUCUGUUGUAAGAGAAGAACGAGUGUGAGAGUGGAAAGU